RNAcentral lists this small RNA (27 nucleotides) under Bombyx mori (domestic silkworm). RNAcentral describes it as "ovarian small RNA-24078". Lineage: Eukaryota; Metazoa; Arthropoda; Insecta; Lepidoptera; Bombycidae. The record is from RNAcentral.
UAUUAAUCCUACGGGCAGCAUCUAUGU